Bos taurus (domestic cattle) is the source of this 1224-nucleotide long non-coding RNA. Lineage: Eukaryota; Metazoa; Chordata; Mammalia; Artiodactyla; Bovidae. The record is from Ensembl.
CCUAAGCCUAAGUAAAUUUUCAGAGAGGGUCAUUUUCUCUUUGUUCUUUUAUAGUAUAGCUCUUAAGCAGAGUGAGAGCUUUGCCUUUGCUAUUUGAAUAGAAUGUUUUCCUGUGGUUUCUAAUUCUCAGAUCCACUUCUGAGCAUUUCUAUGGAUAUGCCACAACUAGUGGAGUUUGAUUCUUAACCAGUCUAGUAAAAUAUUAUUGAUACAAACUACCACUGGCUGAAGUAAAACAUAAACCACUCAGAGAUUAAAGCAUUUAAAAAGAAAAGGGUUUAUAUGCCAACAAGAUUUGUGAGGGAGUCCAAGAUAUAGAAGGAUAGCUUUCACAAAUUAAAGAUAUGACAAGUAUUUGAAAGAAAAAAACUUACAAAUAUUCCAAGGUCAUCAAGUUUACUGUUAAUCUCUUUAAGGUAGAAAACAGCUUUUGGAUAUGACAUAUCCAAAAAGAUCAUCACAUAUCUUCAGACAUUGGCAUUGUCAAAAUCAGGGAUAUAUUUGUUUCUAUCGGGGAAUAUCUUAUAGGAAAGACUCAAGGUUUCAUUUACUGAGGGAACAAGAAUCAGACAAAUUGACUGUUUUUGCUGAUGUUACUUUAUCUCGGUUGCAAAUUUCCAAGGUCACCUUUGGGCUCAGUGAUUCACUAAAAGAAUACAUAGAACUCAGAAAAGCUAUUAUACUCAUGGUUUAUUACAACAAAAACAUACAAAUUUAAAUCAGCAACUCAAAAAAGGACAUAAGGUAAAGUUCAGGAAGUCUAGGGUUUCCCUGGUAGCUCAGCUGGUAAAGAAUCUGCCUGCAAUUCAGGAGAUCCCAGUUCGAUUCCUGGGUUAGGAAGAUCCCCUGGAGAAGGGUUAGGCUACCCACUCCAGUAUUCUUGGGCUUCUCUGGUGGCUCAGAGAGUAAAGAAUCCGCCUGCAAUGCAGGAGACUUGGGUUUGAUCCCUGGGUUGGGAAGAUUCCCCUAGAGGAGGGCAUGGCAACCCACUCUAGUAUUCUUGCCUGGAGAACAAGAGGAGCCUGAACAGAGGAGCCUAGUGGGGUACAGUCCAUGGGGUCACAAAGAGUCAGACACAACUGAGCAACUAAGCACAGCACAGCAAAGUCCAGGAAACACCAGGCAUGAACUAGAACUUGUCUUCCAGUGAAGUCAUGCAGAUUCUUUUCUGUCUGAGCCACCAAAGCUGGUACCAAAUGGCUGAAAGCCCCAUCAUAAAUCACA